UACAGAGGUGGCAAGCGUUGUUCGGAAUUACUGGGCGUAAAGGGCGCGUAGGCGGUCUUGUAAGUCUUGUGUGAAAUCCCUCGGCUCAACUGAGGAACUGCACGGGAUACUGCGAGACUUGAGUUCGGGAGAGGGAAGCGGAAUUCCUAGUGUAGAGGUGAAAUUCGUAGAUAUUAGGAAGAACACCAGUGGCGAAGGCGGCUCACUGGAUCGGUACUGACGCUGAGGUGCGAAAGCGUGGGGAGCAAACAGG
This 253-nucleotide ribosomal RNA is filed under the name uncultured bacterium. RNAcentral's name for it is "partial 16S ribosomal RNA". It matches the Rfam family "Bacterial small subunit ribosomal RNA", at positions 524 to 776 of the family's 1533-position model. The record is from RNAcentral.